CAUCAACUCCCCACCAGCCCACCACAGUGCCUCUGCUGUUAUCCACUGAUCAGGCCAGGGUGACGCCAGCUCAGAGGUCAUCUGCUCCCAGAUCCAGCACCUGGACCUUCUCUGUUUGGGGGACAACACGCCACCCCACCUGCCAAAUAAAUCAAAGCCUAGUUCAACAAAGCUUUUGAUUUAGGGGAGAGUGAGGUAAUUUGAACCAAAGGGGUAAGUUGAGCUAACCUUGUUUCUGGGAAACCAUAAACAACAUUAAUCAUUUUACCAAAUAUUUAGGAAGAGGUCAUUAUUUCAUAGAAUCUGUGAAGGAAGAAACAACAUGGAAAAAGUGAUAAUCAGUUUGAAGCACCAUCACUUCUUGUGGGUUGCAGAGCUGAUCCAAAUGAUUGCUGCCAGUAUAACAGUGUCCUUUCUGGUGAUGGGACCUGCUAUGAAGCACACAAGUACAUUGAUAGCCUUGUGAACUCACACUGGAACACCAAGUUGGAAUGGAUGUCUAAGGUCUGGGAGAGGACAUUGCCACAGAGCUUCCACAGACGCAAUUCAAGAAGGCUAUAAAGGCCUUCUUCUCCAUCUGGUUUUGAAUUUCUCCCAUCACAAGAUGAUUUCACAGGCCAUUUGCUUUCUCACUCUCUGACCAUUACCACAACCAUAAAAAUGGAAUAUUUCUCUGCCCCGUAAUAGAAAAUGUUCUGAUGCAUUCAGGAUGCUUACUUUGACUAAUUAAGUUGAUUUCAUGGUAUUAACCAAACAAUCCAUUUUGUCUUUCCUCUUUGACAGCUUUGCCAAUGGGCU
This 798-nucleotide long non-coding RNA is filed under the name Salmo salar (Atlantic salmon). RNAcentral describes it as "lncRNA (ENSSSAG00000113391.1)". Lineage: Eukaryota; Metazoa; Chordata; Actinopteri; Salmoniformes; Salmonidae. The record is from RNAcentral.